UUGGGGGUGGAGUGGGGGAGGGCAGCACUCCUGGAGACUCAGAUCGGUUUUCAGGUUGUUUGCCCCAGCACUAAGCCGAGAAGUGAGCAAGGAGGGUUUGAAGCUUCAAGUCCACACCCAAGGUCUGCUCAGUGGGAAAUCCUUCAUCCCUGAACCCACCAGCAAUUCCAGACCCAGGGGUGAAGGGAGGUGCAGGUGAGGGAGGUUUGGCCAAGGCAUCCCCAGGGACAAGCACGGAUGACAGCAGGUGAGCUGAAAUCAACCUGUGCUUACACAGUGAGUCUUGCCAGUGCCUCUGAGGAAAGAUGACCUUGGGGAAGUGAGUGGUCAUUGGUUUCCUGUGUGCCCGGUCCUUCUGGAGAAAGACCUGCACCUCGGCAGAGGCUGAUUCCAGCUUGCAGUUCUCCGCCACUUGCA
This 417-nucleotide long non-coding RNA is filed under the name Homo sapiens (human). RNAcentral's name for it is "HSALNT0054027". Lineage: Eukaryota; Metazoa; Chordata; Mammalia; Primates; Hominidae. The record is from RNAcentral.